Molecule: long non-coding RNA, 699 nt
Filed under: Phascolarctos cinereus (koala)
Lineage: Eukaryota; Metazoa; Chordata; Mammalia; Diprotodontia; Phascolarctidae
Description: lncRNA (ENSPCIG00000035678.1)
Source: RNAcentral
CACUUCAUAUCCAAGCCUUCCAUUGGCUGGAUCAAGGCACGCCUCCAGACGUGACGUCACAGGCUUCCUCCUUUCUGCGGUUUUCACCCAGGCUGGGGCGCCCAGCGUUCUUUGAAAAAGGGGCUGCCAGCGAAGCAGCUCGAGCUCCGUCCGCCUCCCGCCCGCCCCUCCCCCUUCCCGGGCCUGCCUCAUCCUCGGUGGGAGUUCCCUGUGUGUGGGAGUUUCCCCCUCCAGAGGCCAGCGAACAAACGUCACAGGCCCGGAUCUUCAACUCCCGAGUUCCUACCCUGCCCUGAUGGCCACUGGUACCACUCCCCACAGCCCGCUGUACCGGGUCCUGGUCCGGGUGUCUGAGAGCUGCUCUGGAAUAGAGAAGAAGCUGCAGAAGUAUUUCCAGAACCCAUAAGCAAAUGAAGACCCAGAAGAAGAGAACAGUACUGUGGAGAUAAGCCAGCUUUCCUCUCCAACUCAGUCAGUCCCAGAGGAAUUUCCAGAUGGAGGAGGUGCUGCUAGCUCCUCUGAUUCCUUCACUAAGAAGAUAUUUCUCCAUGUAAGGGCCCGGCUGAACUUCAAGCUUUCCAAAGAGCGAAGGGAGGAAAUUAUUAACCUCUGCCCAAAUGUCAAAAUAGAAGGAGGCCUUGAUGGACCUGAGAAAGUGAUUGGUGACUUUGAGGAUAUUAAAAAAAUUUAUCAAUUCUU